RNAcentral lists this ribosomal RNA (269 nucleotides) under uncultured Planctomycetales bacterium. Its description in RNAcentral is "partial 16S ribosomal RNA". It matches the Rfam family "Bacterial small subunit ribosomal RNA", at positions 565 to 832 of the family's 1533-position model. Lineage: Bacteria; Pseudomonadati; Planctomycetota; Planctomycetia; Planctomycetales. The record is from RNAcentral.
GAGCACGUAGGUGGGUUUGUAAGUCAGAUGUGAAAGCCUUCUGUUCAACGGGAGAAUUGCAUCUGAAACUGCGAGUCUUGAGUGUAGGAGGGGAGAAUGGAACUUCUGGUGGAGCGGUGAAAUGCGUAGAUAUCAGAAGGAACUCCGGCGGCGAAAGCGAUUCUCUGGCCUAUUACUGACACUCAGUGUGCGAAAGCUAGGGGAGCAAACGGGAUUAGAUACCCCGGUAGUCCUAGCCGUAAACGAUGGGCACUAAGUAGAGGGGUUUU